RNAcentral lists this ribosomal RNA (231 nucleotides) under uncultured bacterium. RNAcentral describes it as "partial 16S ribosomal RNA". It matches the Rfam family "Bacterial small subunit ribosomal RNA", at positions 99 to 334 of the family's 1533-position model. The record is from RNAcentral.
CGGACGGGUGAGUAAUGUCUGGGAAACUGCCCGAUGGAGGGGGAUAACUACUGGAAACGGUAGCUAAUACCGCAUAACGUCGCAAGACCAAGAGGGGGACCUUAGGGCCUCUUGCCAUCGGAUGUGCCCAGAUGGGAUUAGCUAGUAGGUGGGGUAACGGCUCACCUAGGCGACGAUCCCUAGCUGGUCUGAGAGGAUGACCAGCCACACUGGAACUGAGACACGGUCCAG